UACGUAGGGGGCUAGCGUUAUCCGGAAUUACUGGGCGUAAAGGGUGCGUAGGUGGUUUCUUAAGUCAGAGGUGAAAGGCUACGGCUCAACCGUAGUAAGCCUUUGAAACUGGGAAACUUGAGUGCAGGAGAGGAGAGUGGAAUUCCUAGUGUAGCGGUGAAACGCGUAGAUAUUAGGAGGAAUACCAGUGGUGAAGGCGGCUUUCUGGACUUAAACUGACGCUGAGGAACGAAAGCAUGGGGAGCAAACAGGAUUAGAUACCCGCGUAGUCCCUGAGCGGGCUGGCAAGG
Molecule: ribosomal RNA, 290 nt
Filed under: uncultured prokaryote
Description: partial 16S ribosomal RNA
Rfam family: Bacterial small subunit ribosomal RNA
Source: RNAcentral